AGAGUUUGAUCAUGGCUCAGAUUGAACGCUGGCGGCAGGCCUAACACAUGCAAGUCGAGCGGUAGCACAGAGAGCUUGCUCUCGGGUGACGAGCGGCGGACGGGUGAGUAAUGUCUGGGAAACUGCCUGAUGGAGGGGGAUAACUACUGGAAACGGUAGCUAAUACCGCAUAAUGUCGCAAGACCAAAGUGGGGGACCUUCGGGCCUCAUGCCAUCAGAUGUGCCCAGAUGGGAUUAGCUAGUAGGUGGGGUAACGGCUCACCUAGGCGACGAUCCCUAGCUGGUCUGAGAGGAUGACCAGCCACACUGGAACUGAGACACGGUCCAGACUCCUACGGGAGGCAGCAGUGGGGAAUAUUGCACAAUGGGCGCAAGCCUGAUGCAGCCAUGCCGCGUGUGUGAAGAAGGCCUUCGGGUUGUAAAGCACUUUCAGCGGGGAGGAAGGCGUUAAGGUUAAUAACCUUGGCGAUUGACGUUACCCGCAGAAGAAGCACCGGCUAACUCCGUGCCAGCAGCCGCGGUAAUACGGAGGGUGCAAGCGUUAAUCGGAAUUACUGGGCGUAAAGCGCACGCAGGCGGUCUGUCAAGUCGGAUGUGAAAUCCCCGGGCUCAACCUGGGAACUGCAUUCGAAACUGGCAGGCUAGAGUCUUGUAGAGGGGGGUAGAAUUCCAGGUGUAGCGGUGAAAUGCGUAGAGAUCUGGAGGAAUACCGGUGGCGAAGGCGGCCCCCUGGACAAAGACUGACGCUCAGGUGCGAAAGCGUGGGGAGCAAACAGGAUUAGAUACCCUGGUAGUCCACGCCGUAAACGAUGUCGAUUUGGAGGUUGUGCCCUUGAGGCGUGGCUUCCGGAGCUAACGCGUUAAAUCGACCGCCUGGGGAGUACGGCCGCAAGGUUAAAACUCAAAUGAAUUGACGGGGGCCCGCACAAGCGGUGGAGCAUGUGGUUUAAUUCGAUGCAACGCGAAGAACCUUACCUGGUCUUGACAUCCACAGAACUUUCCAGAGAUGGAUUGGUGCCUUCGGGAACUGUGAGACAGGUGCUGCAUGGCUGUCGUCAGCUCGUGUUGUGAAAUGUUGGGUUAAGUCCCGCAACGAGCGCAACCCUUAUCCUUUGUUGCCAGCGGUUCGGCCGGGAACUCAAAGGAGACUGCCAGUGAUAAACUGGAGGAAGGUGGGGAUGACGUCAAGUCAUCAUGGCCCUUACGACCAGGGCUACACACGUGCUACAAUGGCAUAUACAAAGAGAAGCGACCUCGCGAGAGCAAGCGGACCUCAUAAAGUAUGUCGUAGUCCGGAUUGGAGUCUGCAACUCGACUCC
This 1319-nucleotide ribosomal RNA is filed under the name Klebsiella pneumoniae. RNAcentral describes it as "bacterial SSU rRNA". It matches the Rfam family "Bacterial small subunit ribosomal RNA", at positions 8 to 1319 of the family's 1533-position model. The record is from RNAcentral. Lineage: Bacteria; Pseudomonadati; Pseudomonadota; Gammaproteobacteria; Enterobacterales; Enterobacteriaceae.